This 498-nucleotide ribosomal RNA is filed under the name uncultured bacterium. Its description in RNAcentral is "partial 16S ribosomal RNA". It matches the Rfam family "Bacterial small subunit ribosomal RNA", at positions 30 to 523 of the family's 1533-position model. The record is from RNAcentral.
AUUGAACGCUGGCGGCAUGCCUUACACAUGCAAGUCGAACGGUAACAGGUCUUCGGAUGCUGACGAGUGGCGAACGGGUGAGUAAUACAUCGGAACGUGCCUAGUAGUGGGGGAUAACUACUCGAAAGAGUGGCUAAUACCGCAUGAGAUCUACGGAUGAAAGCAGGGGAUCGCAAGGCCUUGUGCUACUAGAGCGGCCGAUGGCAGAUUAGGUAGUUGGUGGGAUAAAAGCUUACCAAGCCGACGAUCUGUAGCUGGUCUGAGAGGACGAUCAGCCACACUGGGACUGAGACACGGCCCAGACUCCUACGGGGGGCAGCAGUGGGGAAUUUUGGACAAUGGGCGCAAGCCUGAUCCAGCAAUGCCGCGUGCAGGAUGAAGGCCUUCGGGUUGUAAACUGCUUUUGUACGGAACGAAAAGCCCUGGGUUAAUACCCUGGGGUCAUGACGGUACCGUAAGAAUAAGCACCGGCUAACUACGUGCCAGCCGCCGCCGUAA